UACGAAGGGGGCUAGCGUUGUUCGGAAUUACUGGGCGUAAAGCGCGCGCAGGCGGUUCUUCAAGUCAGAGGUGAAAGCCCAGAGCUCAACUCUGGAAUGGCCUUUGAGACUAGAGAACUAGGGUACGGGAGAGGUGAGUGGAAUUCCGAGUGUAGAGGUGAAAUUCGUAGAUAUUAGGAAGAACACCGGUGGCGAAGGCGGCCCACUGGUCCGGUACUGACGCUGAGGUGCGAAAGCGUGGGGAGCAAACAGG
This 253-nucleotide ribosomal RNA is filed under the name uncultured bacterium. Its description in RNAcentral is "partial 16S ribosomal RNA". It matches the Rfam family "Bacterial small subunit ribosomal RNA", at positions 524 to 776 of the family's 1533-position model. The record is from RNAcentral.